Molecule: long non-coding RNA, 2694 nt
Organism: Aethalodelphis obliquidens (Pacific white-sided dolphin)
Lineage: Eukaryota; Metazoa; Chordata; Mammalia; Artiodactyla; Delphinidae
Exons: 4
Source: RefSeq, a predicted model, not a curated record
AACCAUUGUUCCCUCUACCAGGAAAGAAGUUUGCGCAGCUGGCCCCUCCCACCAUUCACCUUAGAGGAUUCAGCUCAGAUGUCACUUCUUGACCUGACCACAUCACCCACUGCUGCCCAUGCACCCAGCCGCUGCAGCACGCUUGUUUUACUUUCUUCAUAGCAUGUAUCUGGUUCAGAAUGCUGGGAUCUUAAAGGCCUAAGAGGCCCCCCAUAGCUCCCUGCCACACUUCCCUCACCUACCUUGGACCGUGAGUGGAUGCAAUUUCAGCCAGGUAUCCUGAGUCCCACUCAGGUUCUUGGAGUUCCUGCUGUAGCUCUGGGCCAGCCUUGGAACUGUCCCCUCAUCCUGCUUAUGUGACCUAUUCAAGGGCCCUAAACAGGAGCCCUGAAGUCCUGGUGGAAACUUGCUCACCUGAGAGCUGAGUGCAGAGAGCUGGUCUGAGGAGGCUCCUGGAGCUGCGUCCAGCCCAGAGCACAGACACGCCGCUGUGUACUGAUGGAGUUCAUCAGUCAGUGUGAGGGCGCGUUGCCGGAAGAUGUGACUCUGUUCCCCCUCACCCUGAGGACAAGGCAGGGCCACCGCACGAUACAACAACAUGCCGAUCUCCAUGGAUUCCCGAAACACAGAAAAAAGUUGCAGGCUGAUAACCAGAGACAAACGGACCCAGUAACAGGGCUGCCUGACGCCAGCACUGACUGUUUUGAAAUAAUGCAGGAAGAAGAAGAAUGCAGGACCUUCACUACUUUGAUCCUUAUCAUAUACCCUGGACUGCUAGCCCCACAUAUAAAAUCUUCUCCCAUUCCCGAAGGGGGUGUGGGCACAGUUCUUGAGGCGCUAGACUUCUGUCUUCCCUUCUGCCUGGCAGAAAAAUAAAGCCAUCUCUCUCUUCCUCCAAAAUCUCUGUCUCCGUAUUUCUGUAUUUCUGUCCGGCAUUGGUGCACAGGGAAGCCAAUAUUUCGGCAACAAGUCUAGAAAUAAACCCUUACAUUUAUGGUUCAUUGACUUUCAACAAAAAUGUCAAUGCAAUUCAAUGGAGUGAAAGGAUAGUCAUUUCAGCAAAUGGUGCUGGGACAAAGGAAUUAAUGGUUGCCUGGGGUUGGGGUAGGAAUGGGGAAGGACUGCCCACGGGGUGAUAGAAAUGCCCUAAAACUGAAUUGUGGUGAUAGUUGCUCAACAGUACAAAUUAACUAAAGAUCAUUGAAUUUACACCUGAAAUGGGUAUAUUCUAUGGGGGAGGGAGAGGUAGACACCUCAGCCUGGAAGCAGGUCAGGCACUGGUGUGCUGAGGUGGGAGGGUCUGUAGUGGACAGGCUGGGUCUCUACCUUCUUCCCCACACCCUUGCUGAGCCUUUCGGAGCCUCUGCCCCUUCAUUUUCGUAAACUAGGAUAAUGACACUUGUAGGCGGUUGGGGAGGGUGGAAGGAAGGCACCAUAGGGCCAGCUGUGCCCUCCCUGUUGGGGUCCCACUCAGCUCCCAGAGCUGGGGGCAGCAAUCCCUGACCGGGAGCCUCCCACUCUGGCUUCAGAGCACCCAGGGGCCGAGAGGGUCUGGCCAGCACCGUCCUGAAGGAGUAGCAUGCUGCCCCCAUGUACACUUUUCUAGUGGCUGCAUUUAAAAAGUAAAAAGAAACAGGUGCAAUUCAUUUAAAUAGUACAUCUUAUUUAACCUAAUUCACUCUACAUAUUAUCACUGACAUGUGAUCAUUUUAUUAAUUAUCAAUAAUACAUUUUACAUUCUGUUUUUCUUACAAAGUCUUCCAAAUGUGAUGUGUAUUUUUCACUCAUAGCGCGUUUCAGUUUGGACCAGCCAUAUUUCAAAUGUCCAGAUAGCCUCCGCUCAUUUUUUGAUUGGAUUGGUUUUUUUGUGGUUGUUAUUGAGUUGUAUGAGCUGUUUGUAUAUUAUGGAAAUUAAGCCCUUGUCGGUUGCAUCAUUUGCAAAUAUUUUCUCCCAAACAAUUAGCACAGGUGCUAAGACCACUGGAUACCCACAUGCAAAAGAAUGAAGUUGGAUUCUUACCUCACUCCAUAUACAAAAUUAACUCAAAAUGGAUCAAAGACCUACAUAUAAGAACCAAAAUUAUAUAACUUGUAUUGAUAGAGGAAAACAUGAGAGUAAACCUUCAUGACCUUGGAUUCAAUGAUUUCUUAGAUCUGAUACCAAAAGCACAAGCAAGAAAAGCCAAAAGAGAUGAAUUGGACUUCUUACAACGAAAAAGUGUUGUGCAUAAAGGAGAAAGGGAAAAGAUAAUCCACCCUCCAAAAUGGUACAAGGUGUUUGGCAAUCACGUAUCUGAUAAAGAUCUGUAGCCCACCAGCCAAGACUGAGAGAGAUGUACCCAACUCUGCAGGACACUUCAUUGGGCUUAGAGGGUGACUAGGAAAGAAAUCAGUCUGGCAGGUGCCCAAGGCCAGUGCGGACCCCAGGGCUGGGGAGGGAGAGGAGGAAGGGCUGAGAGUUGGCGUUAGAACGGAUGGCCACUAGAGGACGCCAGAGCACCAGCGGGUGUUGGCGGAACUCCACGGAUGUAACCAGAGAGGAGGUGCUGGUUAUCGGGCGGCUCUGACUCUCCCACCCAAACUGCCUCGUCUCACAGAGGGGCACAGAGGUCUGCCUUCAGCAUUUGAUGGGGGCACUUCUAGCCUGGUCGGGUGGCCUAGUGGUUGGGACAGCCUAACAGGCUGUCUGCGGAC